GAACGCACAUUGCGCCCCUUGGUAUUCCAUGGGGCAUGCCUGUUCGAGCGUCAUUUGUACCCUUAAGCUCUGCUUAGUGUUGGGUGUUUGUCCCGCUUCGCGCGUGGACUCGCCUUAAAGCCAUUGGCAGCCGGCAUAUUGUCUCGGAGCGCAGCACAUUUUGCGCUUCUAGCAUGAAUGUUGGUAUCCAGUAAGCCUUUACAUUUGCUCUUGACCUCGGAUCAGGUAGGGAUACCCGCUGAACUUAAG
RNAcentral lists this unclassified non-coding RNA (249 nucleotides) under uncultured Pleosporales. RNAcentral describes it as "sequence contains 5.8S rRNA gene". The stretch from base 1 to 53 matches the Rfam family "5.8S ribosomal RNA", at positions 102 to 154 of the family's 154-position model. The record is from RNAcentral. Lineage: Eukaryota; Fungi; Ascomycota; Dothideomycetes; Pleosporales.